GAUGAACGCUGGCGGCGUGCUUAACACAUGCAAGUCGAACGAAGAGGCCCAAGCUUGCUUGGUUACUCUAGUGGCGAACGGGUGAGUAACACGUGGGUAAUCUGCCCUUCACUUCGGGAUAAGCCUGGGAAACUGGGGCUAAUACCGGAUAUGACGAUGUGUUGGAUGGCGGUGUGUAAAGUUUUUUCGGUGUGAGGUGGGCUCGGGGCCUAUCAGUUUGUUUGGGGGGUAAUUGCCUAACAAGGCGUCGGCGGGUAGCCGGCCAGAGAGGGGGAACGGCCACUCGGGGUGUGAGACGGGCCCGAGACUUCUGCGGGGGAGAACAGGGGGAAAUUGUACAAAAGGGGCGAGACCCAUGCAGAGCGACGGCGCGGGGGAGGAGGGCGUUUGCGUUGUAAAAACCUCUUGCUGCGGAGGAGGAGCUAUUGUGACGGUACCUGCAGAAGAAGCACCGGCUAACUACGUG
RNAcentral lists this ribosomal RNA (466 nucleotides) under uncultured bacterium. Its description in RNAcentral is "partial 16S ribosomal RNA". It matches the Rfam family "Bacterial small subunit ribosomal RNA", at positions 28 to 507 of the family's 1533-position model. The record is from RNAcentral.